RNAcentral lists this long non-coding RNA (417 nucleotides) under Phaseolus vulgaris (common bean). RNAcentral describes it as "long non-coding RNA (PVUL_LNC002173)". The record is from RNAcentral. Lineage: Eukaryota; Viridiplantae; Streptophyta; Magnoliopsida; Fabales; Fabaceae.
CCAAAUGACAUAAAAGUGGGGCCAAUCCUAGAGCAUGAGGAAGGUGUGACUUCCUCUCUUAGUUUGGCACCUCCCUAUUACGCCUACACCUCUCUACUAAGCUCACACCUCCUAAGCUUCCUAUUAUUUUCCUAAACUAAAGACCUAAAGAUGCUUUUACAAAAGAGGUGUCUAAUGUUUCCCUCUAAGCACCUUUCUAAACAAUAUUCUCUAUUAUUUACAAUUUAAAAGAAACUAAAGAGAGAUAUUUAAUUUGAAGCCCAUUCUUGAAAGCUUGUAGACUUCUUUGGCGUUAGGCUUGAUCCUCUCUUUAUGUCUUCUUUUAAUUUUGAGAAGACUAGAAGGAAGAACUUCAAAUGUGAUGGUGAAUGCCCUCUUCCUUCAUUAAUAAAAGCCUCCUUUAUUUUAUUCUCAUCA